UCGAGAAUCUUCGGCAAUGGGCGCAAGCCUGACCGAGCGACGCCGCGUGCGGGAUGAAGGCCCUCGGGUUGUAAACCGCUGUCGUAGGGGAGGAAAUUGAUUGGGGUUCUCCCCAGUCAUUGACCUAUCCUAGGAGGAAGUCCGGGCUAAGUUCGUGCCAGCAGCCGCGGUAAGACGAACCGGACAAACGUUAUUCGGAAUUACUGGGCUUAAAGGGUACGUAGGCGGUCCGUUAAGUGGGGUGUGAAAUCCCUCGGCUCAACCGAGGAACUGCGCCCCAUACUGGCGGACUCGAGGGAGACAGAGGUGAGUGGAACUGAUGGUGGAGCGGUGAAAUGCGUUGAUAUCAUCAGGAACACCAGUGGCGAAAGCGGCUCACUGGGUCUCUUCUGACGCUGAGGUACGAAAGCUAGGGUAGCGAACGGGAUUAGAUACCCCCGUAGUCC
Molecule: ribosomal RNA, 446 nt
Filed under: uncultured prokaryote
Description: bacterial SSU rRNA
Rfam family: Bacterial small subunit ribosomal RNA
Source: RNAcentral